RNAcentral lists this ribosomal RNA (460 nucleotides) under uncultured bacterium. RNAcentral describes it as "partial 16S ribosomal RNA". It matches the Rfam family "Bacterial small subunit ribosomal RNA", at positions 338 to 795 of the family's 1533-position model. The record is from RNAcentral.
CCUACGGGAGGCAGCAGUGAGGAAUAUUGGUCAAUGGGCUUACGCCUGAACCAGCCAAGUCGCGUGAGGGAAGACUGCCCUAUGGGUUGUAAACCUCUUUUGUCAGGGAGCAACGCCGGCUACGUGUAGCCGGACUGAGAGUACCUGAAGAAAAAGCAUCGGCUAACUCCGUGCCAGCAGCCGCGGUAAUACGGAGGAUGCGAGCGUUAUCCGGAUUUAUUGGGUUUAAAGGGUGCGUAGGCGGAAUGCCAAGUCAGCGGUAAAAUCGCGGGGCUCAACCCCGUACUGCCGUUGAAACUGCAUCCAUUGAGUGCGCGAGAAGUAUGCGGAAUGCGUGGUGUAGCGGUGAAAUGCAUAGAUAUCACGCAGAACUCCGAUUGCGAAGGCAGCAUACCGGCGCGCAACUGACGCUCAUGCACGAAAGCGUGGGUAUCGAACAGGAUUAGAUACCCGUGUAGUC